This 460-nucleotide ribosomal RNA is filed under the name uncultured Treponema sp. RNAcentral describes it as "partial 16S ribosomal RNA". It matches the Rfam family "Bacterial small subunit ribosomal RNA", at positions 341 to 792 of the family's 1533-position model. Lineage: Bacteria; Pseudomonadati; Spirochaetota; Spirochaetia; Treponematales; Treponemataceae. The record is from RNAcentral.
ACGGGAGGCAGCAGCUAAGAAUAUUCCGCAAUGGGGGAAACCCUGACGGAGCGACGCCGCGUGGAUGAUGAAGGCCGGAAGGUUGUAAAAUCCUUUUAUGACUGAGGAAUAAGUAUUCUGAGAGAAACGCCAUAUGGUGACUGUAGGUUAUGAAUAAGCAACGGCUAAUUACGUGCCAGCAGCCGCGGUAACACGUAAGUUGCGAGCGUUGUUCGGAAUUAUUGGGCGUAAAGGGCAUGUAGGCGGUUUUGCAAGCUUGGUGUGAAAUUCCGGAGCUCAACUCCGGAACUGCGUUGAGAACUGCAUAACUAGAAUCACUGAGGGGCAAUCAGAAUUCCUGGUGUAGGGGUGAAAUCUGUAGAUAUCAGGAAGAAUACCAAUGGCGAAGGCAGGUUACCAGCAGAUGACUGACGCUGAGGUGCGAAGGUGCGGGGAGCAAACAGGAUUAGAUACCCUGGUA